GUGUAGCUCGGUGGUAGAGCAUUUGCUUAGAAUGCAAAAAGCCUGAGGUUCAUUCCCCAGCAC
This 63-nucleotide transfer RNA is filed under the name Urocitellus parryii (Arctic ground squirrel). RNAcentral's name for it is "Spermophilus parryii (Arctic ground squirrel) tRNA". It matches the Rfam family "tRNA", at positions 5 to 66 of the family's 71-position model. From Rfam's summary of the family: Transfer RNA (tRNA) molecules are approximately 80 nucleotides in length. Their secondary structure includes four short double-helical elements and three loops (D, anti-codon, and T loops). Further hydrogen bonds mediate the characteristic L-shaped molecular structure. tRNAs have two regions of fundamental functional importance: the anti-codon, which is responsible for specific mRNA codon recognition, and the 3' end, to which the tRNAs corresponding amino acid is attached (by aminoacyl-tRNA synthetases). tRNAs cope with the degeneracy of the genetic code in two manners: having more than one tRNA (with a specific anti-codon) for a particular amino acid; and 'wobble' base-pairing, i.e. permitting non-standard base-pairing at the 3rd anti-codon position. RNAcentral also lists the same sequence under 2 other names. Lineage: Eukaryota; Metazoa; Chordata; Mammalia; Rodentia; Sciuridae. The record is from Rfam by way of RNAcentral.